Molecule: non-coding RNA, 1262 nt
Organism: Thamnophis sirtalis
Lineage: Eukaryota; Metazoa; Chordata; Lepidosauria; Squamata; Natricidae
Source: RefSeq, a predicted model, not a curated record
UUAUUCCAAGCUUCUGGCUGGCAAUGAAGAGGGGAAGGUCUGCUCUUGGUCAAUUGAGGAGUAGAAGGAAGAAGUACGAUGUAAAGCUGGAUCCUCUUGAAUCCCAGGUGCUGAUGGGAGCAGAUUAGAGCUUGCGUGGUGUUAGAGAUUGCGUUGACUAACCAUCUUCCUGCCUGAGCCGACAUGCUGACCUGAUGUCAGGCUUCCCGUUCUGGGGAAUCUCCCGCUCUGGAGCGGUUCCCUGAAUUCAUGGCUUCCGUAGCUAUGAGCUCAGCUCCAGCCACCUUCGACUCACACGCUGUGCCCUAUUCGUACUGAUUCGGUCUUUUGCUUUGCCACUCGUGCUGUGUGAAUGGGGGGUGCCUUGUUUCACCUGUUUACCCUGGACAACCUCUUUAUGGAUUGGGUUGAAAGACUUUCUGUGCCUGCCGAACUCCUUACAGGUGUCGUUGGCCCUUCUGAGGAUGUGGGGCAGAACGGAUUCCUCGUGUUUUUAGCAAAUGACAAGAAACGUUUCUUCGAAUGCCUCUCGCGUGAUUUAAGAAGCCAUCCAGCCCAUGUUAACAGCUGCCGACUGGUACCUUCCACUAUCCUAGGUGUAGAGAAGCCAGUGAAGAUGGUGGUGCAGCAACACAACAAGUAACAUUCGGAUAAAAUUGAUUGUCUCCAAUCUUUCUGCUAAUUUUGCCCAGACACGGCUUUGACCCCACGAUGAAUGGCCUUUCCCUGGGAGGAGAGAGCAGAGGUGAGAUUUCUGGCCUUCCGAUUAGCCUUCCGUGCUUGCUGGAGAAAGGGGCAGCUUAACAGCUCCUCCUCCCUGGGAUGGGGCUCCUCUUAGCUGAGGCACAGCCUUAGGCCUCCCUCUGGUUUAACCUCCGUGGGACCUUCUGCUGGGGAGGCAACCUACACGGAGCGGGUUGCCUCCGUCCAGAGGUGAUCCCGGAGGCCUUUCCUGUGAGCCCGGGAUUUGGUGCCCCCAAAGCCUCGAGGCAUCUUCAAGCGGCUCGGCUGGGGCCGCCCGUCGGAGGAGGAUCCGGCAACUCAGCUCCCCCUCAGUCCGUGAAGACUCAGGCGCUUCGGAAUGGAUUUUACUGGCCAAAUGUUACAUAAAAUGCAACGGCCUCCUGAAUGCUGAGAAGUCCUCUUCCUCCCCACCUCCCCUUCUCCCUCGGGCUGGCCUUCCACACGCACAAAAAUACCCGGCCUUUUCUCCAUUAUUUUUAUAGCUGUUUUUAUCCCUAAUAAAUGGUUAGGAUCAACAA